GACGGAGGAUGCAAGCGUUAUCCGGAAUGAUUGGGCGUAAAGCGUCUGCAGGUGGCAGUUCAAGUCUGCUGUCAAAGACCGGGGCUUAACUUCGGAAAGGCAGUGGAAACUGAACAGCUAGAGUAUGGUAGGGGCAGAGGGAAUUCCUGGUGUAGCGGUGAAAUGCGUAGAGAUCAGGAAGAACAUCGGUGGCGAAGGCGCUCUGCUGGACCAUAACUGACGCUCAGGGACGAAAGCUAGGGGAGCGAAUGGG
Molecule: ribosomal RNA, 253 nt
Filed under: uncultured bacterium
Lineage: Bacteria
Description: partial 16S ribosomal RNA
Rfam family: Bacterial small subunit ribosomal RNA
Source: RNAcentral